This 434-nucleotide ribosomal RNA is filed under the name uncultured Lachnospiraceae bacterium. Its description in RNAcentral is "partial 16S ribosomal RNA". It matches the Rfam family "Bacterial small subunit ribosomal RNA", at positions 341 to 792 of the family's 1533-position model. The record is from RNAcentral. Lineage: Bacteria; Bacillati; Bacillota; Clostridia; Lachnospirales; Lachnospiraceae.
ACGGAAGGCAGCAGUGGGGAAUAUUGCACAAUGGGGGAAACCCUGAUGCAGCGACGCCGCGUGAGUGAAGAAGUAUUUCGGUAUGUAAAGCUCUAUCAGCAGGAAAGAAAAUGACGGUACCUGACUAAGAAGCCCCGGCUAACUACGUGCCAGCAGCCGCGGUAAUAUGUAGGGGGCAAGCGUUAUCCGGAUUUACUGGGUGUAAAGGGAGCGUAGACGGCUUUGCAAGUCUGAAGUGAAAGCCCGGGGCUCAACCCCGGAACUGCUUUGGAAACUGUAGAGCUAGAGUGCAGGAGAGGUAAGUGGAAUUCCUAGUGUAGCGGUGAAAUGCGUAGAUAUUAGGAGGAACACCAGUGGCGAAGGCGGCUUACUGGACUGUAACUGACGUUGAGGCUCGAAGGCGUGGGGAGCAAACAGGAUUAGAUACCCUGGUA